Molecule: long non-coding RNA, 511 nt
Organism: Drosophila willistoni
Lineage: Eukaryota; Metazoa; Arthropoda; Insecta; Diptera; Drosophilidae
Exons: 3
Source: RefSeq, a predicted model, not a curated record
GAACUCCUCUUCAGAGAGAGACAUUUAUUUGUAAGCAAUAGGAAAAUAUAGAUGCCUUGCAGGAAGAUGGCGAGUUCAUGAACGGUGGAGUAUUCUGGCGACGACAGAGUAAAGCUGUUGGGUCGAGAACAGCUGGCGACCUUUGGCAGAUUUUGUUGCUGCAAGGUUUUGCGAAACGAUCCGUUUUGCAUUUUUGUUGGUGUUGCUGCCCGACCGGGUUUGCUUGCAGGUAAGUGUUUGUUGAUUAAUUUAAUUUUUUGUUUGUUUUCAGGUACUGGUGAUUUGGCUUUGGCCAGUUUUGUUGGCCGCAUGUUGGUAUUUGAUGAGUACCGCUGACUUUUAGCUUUGUCGAUAAUUAUAGUUGUUUUAAUUUUAGUUGUUUCUCCGUUUUCAGGUACGUCUAGUGUAUAAAUAGGGGUUGCUGCUGUAGGCGAGUAAUUUACAGGUGCAGGCGCAUUAGUUGCACCCAAUGGGGCGGCUGCCAGACGAGAUUUAGCACCAGAAAGUGUAG